This is a long non-coding RNA of Ipomoea nil (Japanese morning glory), 102 nucleotides long. RefSeq lists it as uncharacterized. The record is from RefSeq and is a predicted model, not a curated record. The transcript has 3 exons. Lineage: Eukaryota; Viridiplantae; Streptophyta; Magnoliopsida; Solanales; Convolvulaceae.
GCUAAUCUCUGCAAUGACAAACUGAAUAGAAACACGUGCUCAAGAUAAUAAUUCUUAAAAGACAUAAUUAAGAAAACAAGAAAGUAAUGAUGAAGGGCCCCC